UAUGAAGGCCCCCAUAUUUUACUAAAUGGGCUUAAGGUUUGGAUAAUCCAUUAUCCAUAUAAAAACAAGCACGAUCGCAUCUAAGGAAAUUAGAGGACACAGACACGAAAGAAAAAGAAAAGGCUUUCCUAAAAAAUUGAAUCUGUCGAAUUUAUCUCUCAAUCUAUGAUGACAGAAUUCAAUUCUUGUGAGUAUGUCGAGGGACUCCGCAUUACCCUCCAACGUUCUCAUGGUCUCGAAAUUUCAUAUAUAGUAUUGGAUCAAGUUAUUUAGCAACAACCAAGCAGCAGUAACCGGCCAUCAACAACUCAGCAGCAACAACCCAACAGCAACCCAAGCCAGCAACAACUGAACAAGCGAACAACAGGAGCUGCAUAUGCGCUUAACAGCAGCCCAGUAGGAGAUGUUUGACCAACAGGAGCAAAACUGCACAGGACAGAAGACAGUAGCAGCUAGAAGCAGACAACUUUUUUUUUCUUUUUUUGUUUACUUUACUUUGCAUUCUUUUUAAACUAGGCUCCAAAGUUGAUCUCGUUUAAGGUCCUAAAAAAGCUUGAACCAACACCACCCAUAUAUACCCCAAUGGGGAUGGUCUUACACCAAUCGCCACCAUCAUAACGCUACUGCUAUCUUCAUCGUCGUUGUAUCGUGUGGACAUUAGUCUAGUUCAUUUUAAUAAACAAUAAUUCGAUAAAUCUUUAAAAAAUUUAAUAGAUAGUUGUUACACGUGAUAUAAUAAUGGAAAA
Long non-coding RNA from Erigeron canadensis, 746 nucleotides. RefSeq lists it as uncharacterized. Lineage: Eukaryota; Viridiplantae; Streptophyta; Magnoliopsida; Asterales; Asteraceae. The record is from RefSeq and is a predicted model, not a curated record. The transcript is spliced from 2 exons.